This 253-nucleotide ribosomal RNA is filed under the name uncultured bacterium. RNAcentral's name for it is "partial 16S ribosomal RNA". It matches the Rfam family "Bacterial small subunit ribosomal RNA", at positions 524 to 776 of the family's 1533-position model. The record is from RNAcentral.
UACAGAGGCCCCAAGCGUUAGGCGGAAUCACUGGGCUUAAAGCGUGUGUAGGCGGACUUCUAAGUACCUUGUGAAAUCCCACGGCUUAACCGUGGAACUGCUUGGUAUACUGGUCGUCUUGAGCCACUUAGGGGUUACCGGAACAAAUGGUGGAGCGGUGAAAUGCGUAGAUAUCGGGAGGAAUACCGAUGGCGAAGGCAGGUCUCUGGGCUAUAACUGACGCUCAUGCACGAAAGCGUGGGGAGCAAACAGG